GUGGGGGAUCUCAGGGGCUGUUUUGUGAACACGGAAUGAAUUAUCGUCUCUCCUCACCAUUUAGAAGACCUGGAAAAUGAAGUCCACGGCAAAACAAAAGAUGUUUCAACAAUGCGCCAGGUCUUUAUAGAAAUAGGUCUCGUUUGUCAUUCUUGCCACGUCCAUGUGAACACAGAAGAGGAGUAAAAAUCAUCAGCGUUCAAAAGGGAAGUUAAACAUCAAACAUUCAUUUAAUAUUGAGUGAUUUUGACUUCUCAGAUGUCCCUUUAAUGCAGAGCACAGUGAUAAUUGAGGGACCCGUGUUGAGGCAGGAUGGCCGCAGUAAUAACAGAGACAUCUCUUCAACACACCAGUCAGGUCUUAAUUAUUACCUUUACAACUGUGGUUGCAGUGAAACGGGUACCAGAGGACCUAUAGCGAGAUGUCCCGCACAAUGGAGCCUCGGCACAGAUUCCUCAUUAGCAUAUGUCAGCCAUGUGCUUCAGAUGGCUAUUCAUUUCUGUCACUUAGCACUUGGAAGUGCUCAUGCUAAGAGCUGGUGUCAAGAAGAAGAUUCGCCCCACCACGAAAGCUGAUGCAGGCCGCUUGGCUUUUUUUUUUUUUUUACCAAAAUUACACAAGGCCUCUCUUCUUAUCUAAAUCUGAACCCGAGGACACCCAUCACUCGCAAUGGAUCUAUUUCAACGACUCUAUACACACAUGCACAAACACACAAAAGAACAGAGAGUGAAAGACAGAGGGGGAGAGCGAGCGCAUAAGCAUUCAUACUGUAGACAGUGCUACAUGAUCAAAGGCGACGGGGAGAGAAGGGGAAACGAGAGCUCUAAAAAUGGUUCUGCAGCUGAUUCUGUAAGUCCUGGCAGUCACUCUCUCCAAAUACACACACACACACGCACGCACGCUCGGCACUUUCAUAUUUAACUAAAGGCAGGGCCCGGCGUGUGUCACACUCCAACAGGGGGACACGCAGCUUUCGCUCGUUUGAGGAGCGGAGGCUUUGUUUCCUCUUGGUGGUGUGGCACCGAGUACCUGGGGGGUGAGAGAUUGUUUCUCUUCUCUCUUAACAGGAAACAGCAUCAGGAAUGUAGGGAAAGUGAGACAACGCAAGCAGGGAAACCCGAUUGCUCUCAAGUUUCUCAGAGACUCCGCUCCAGAAUAUGGUGCUAUAACUCCCCUACAUAAAAUCAAUGAUUUGUUUAAUUUAGACAGAGCUCGUAAAUGUGCUAAUUUCAGAGACAGCCUACAAAUCUAGAGGGCCUUGUUAUCCCAUUUGCUGCUCCAUUAGUUGGGAAAUGAUACAGCCCAGCAUGGUUAAGAAACUGAACGUUCGGUCUGGCCAUUCAAAGAAGGAAAUAAGUGACGUUGCUCUGAUUGUCAAUGAAAACAGAAUGCACACCAACACGAAUUUACAUCAGAUGACGGUUUAUUAAAAAACACAACAAGUUCAUAUAUUUCCAUACAGGCCUGGCUGUGAUCACUAUAAUACUACACUGAAAAUAGUUUGGUGUAGGAUUUACUUAACAAUUUUCACUUAGAAAUUGUGGUAACACCUUACUUAAAGCCUUUAUUAUAUAAUGCAUUAUAAAAGUAGUUUUAAUGCAUUAAUUAUGCCUUGUAAUGUACCUUAUAAUGCAUUGUACAAUCUCAUGACUUUGUAACUACAAUGUAAUACAUUAUAACACUUAUCAGUUCAUUGUUACACUAUGCAUUUUAAAUUUGGUUAUAAUUAUUUACAAGCUAUAAUGUAUUACAACACACAUUAUGAAUAAUUAUAAUGCAUUUUAGCCUUUAAUAACCCUUUAUCAUGCAUUACCCAUAAAUUUUACUUUGAGUCAAGUGUUACUGAAAUUGCUAGUAAAUUUGUACAAAUAAUUACAAAAAAUGGCAAGUCGCACACUGAAUUGAUUGUGAAAUUGUGACAUUUAUUUAUUUGUUUGUUUUCUGUGAAGCUUUUUCUUUGUACCAUCUUAAAAUAUUCAACAACAGAAAUUAAAAUGUACAAGCUAUUUGACUAAUAUAGGUUUUUAAGUUAUUAUAAAAUUCUAUAUUAUUUUAACGAUUUAAAUCGUCACAUUAUAUUAUUUUUUAUACAUUUUAUAUUACAUAACUUUUAUAUUAUAUUAUAUUAUAUCCUUAUGAAAGGGUCUGAAGGGAUCCAGUGAGUCUAUUCGUAUCUUAAGUUAUAAUCUAUAUCACUCUAUGUUCUUGUACUGGUAACAAUAUUUUAUCAGGGGUGUUAUCUCUCUCUCUCACACACACACACACACACACCAACUCUAUUCUCAGUGCCAGGCUUCAACACUCAUCUGUCUGACUUGGACUCAGCAAUUAGGGGCCACACAAGCAAAUGCCACUCAUGACCUGAAGCACAAAGCCACUGACAAACAAGCAGAGACAAAUCAAGGGGUGAUUUAAAAGCAUAGCGCUAAAAUCUCAAUAUUUGGCCAUUCAGAUUUAGCAGGCUGCCCAGACAGGGCCAUAAAUUCACCCUUCCAUAAAUAAUUAAUAUGACAGUGCAACGUAAAUCUGAGUCAACCCUGUUGGAUAAGAAAUGAAGUUUGCUGUCAUUAUUAUCAUUCUGUGGUUGACUAAAAUCUAAAUGCAAUUUAUUUGAUGUGAUAAUCCAAAGAUAAACAUAAAUGAUUACGAAUGCAAAAAAGAAAACUAAAGCCCAAACUCACAUACUCCCAACACCGAACGUCAUCACAGGCUCCGAGUUAAAAGAGCAAAAACAGAUGCUUUAUCUGACAAGACGCUUCUUUGGUUUGCCGUCACUUUGAAUUUAGAUUAUCAACUGCCACUUUAGAUGGUCGUUUAUGGUGCCGCCCCAGCGCCAGCAACCCCAGUACUCUGGGAUACACUCCCAGCAUCCAUAGAUAGACAUUUAAAUCAACUCUGGCAUGGGACAUGCUGUCUGGAUCUUAGCUCUUCUGCAGACCGUGCUCAGUAAAUCAAAUGAGGGUAAUAUGAAUCAAAUCAAGACAAUAUAUUACACUAAUUGCCUUAUCAGAUGGCUGUCUCGAAUGCUUUAAGGUCCCUUGCAAAGGGUGUUGAAGCUGUAUUCAUACACAGGGCCGUCCUUGAAUAACUCAGGCGAAACUCUAUUUGAAUAACUGUCUGCAAUAAUAAGAAAAAAAGUGGCCUGGUACAACGUCGAAGAGUGAAUUUCCAGCCUCUUAUAUCUCUCUUAACCACAUCCAAGAGUGAAAUAAGGGGCUUUGUGUUUGUGUGCGUCCAGCACAUAUGUCACAUCAGCUCCAGUGGUUUCCUGUAGGAUUAUAAGUGCGGUCUGAGCGAGUGAGAUUGGUCAACGGCACGCCGAGCCGCCACCUCUGACUGUGAGCAUGAUUCAAUGUGAUGUCCACUUUGUGUCCCUUUAUUUGCUUCUGAAAGGAAAAGCUUGUCUUUUAUGUCCCUUUCCAACCCCUGCACAGCUAAUCAUACAUCCUGUCAACACGGCUGUGUUUUACACUAAACCCUGUUGUUCUGUUUAGAAAGCUUGGAUCUGUUUAUGGUGCAGAAAUGAUGCAGCCUUAUGGUAAAAUCAAUAAAGUUGCAAGGGUUAUAAAUAUAUGAAUCUAAACGACAGCAGAGGGGGAGUAAUUAUACAAAUAAAACAUCGUGUUCUCGGCGGAAAACGCACUAGGACAUAAUUGAUUAUCAUUUUGAAGGUGAUAACGAGACAUUUUGAGUUUUGCUGUGUUGUGUAGCCCGCGUCUGCUUGUGUGGAUUUUAACUGUCUUGACAUGUCCUUGUGGAGUGAUCUCAACCGUGAUGGUAAUAACAAUAAUUAUCUUCUAAGUGUGGAAAGUCAAAGACAUGAAUAUUCUCAUACAGCGUUAAGUUCAGCAGACAAGUGCUUUCACAUGAUUUCGUCAGGACAAAUUAACAGUAAUUGCACAUUGAAUUGUUCCAGAAAUAUCAGAUGCUGUUGCUUUCUUAGUUUGACGUUCAAAGCAAGGGGUUUUUAUGAUUUGGUGGCGAUGUAUAAUUUGUUGAUCGUGGCCAUGAGGAAAUCGCAUUGAAAGAAAAACGUGUCCAGAAAUAUUAGUAGAUCAAAAAACAAGCCCACACGAACAUAAGCUAACACUCAAAGCAACCAAGACUUUAUAGUUGCAUUUGAAAAAAAAAAAAGGCAGGAUCUGCCAUCACUUUUGAUUAGUUUUUUAGUUACUCUUUCACAGGCUUUAGAUAUUUGAAAAAUUGUUAUUAAUAAGGACAUGAUUUCUGGAGAUUAACCCCUCGUUCCUUUAUCCCUGAUCCAGAGACCUUUGGAAAAUUGAUCCUGUUAGAUUGAUGGAUGUCCUGUUUAAGGGUUUGUCCUUGUGCUAGUGUUUUUGCUGUAAUCCUGAGGGCUCGUUUGUUUAAUGAUGCAAUUGUAUCUCAUUUUGUCACUUCUGUGUAAUGUCACAUUGAACAAACCUCAAGUUAUUUAAAUUUGGGUUUAAUUAGUCCUAAAGAAACAGAAACCUUUGAACAGAAUAAAUAUUUUAAGUUACUUUGAAUAUUUAAACUGACAAAUUGUCAGUUGUUUUAUAUGUUUGUAACUGUAUAGGCAUGAAUAUGUCAGCCUACUUCAUGAUGUCUGUACAAUUAGGAAACAUGUAAAUGAUUUGGCGAACAAUAAACUUUAAAAUUUGAAUGCCAUCUACAUGAUACAAUUCAACAUUUGAAUGCAGAAUAUAGCUAUGUUUCCAUUAAAAUUGUAACAUCAAAAAAAUAAAAUAUUAUAAAGUUGCAAUUCUGUCACUGUUAGUUUGGGUGAACAAAAUUGUCACUUCCAAAACUUGUGUGAAAUGGCAGCCAUUUAAAAAAUAUAUUCUGCUAAUUGAGGUCAAGAGCAUAAACAAAAUGAUCAGAUGAAUUUCAUGUUUUCUAGCAAUUGUGUUGUAUCUGGGAGCAACACCAUGUCUGACAAUUUAGUUUGGAAAAAGUCUGGAAAAAAAGUUUCCAAUAAUUUUUUUUUGUGCUUCCAUCCAAAAGUGGCAUUAAAAUAUGUGGACAACCUCCCAGCUAAUGAAUGAUAGUGCAGCGGUCAUGUUGACCACUGUGUAAACAAAACCUGGACUGAUGACCAUCACAGUAAUAUAGCCAUUUAGCACAGGAUGUGUGGUCAAAAUGGGCUUCAUUAUGGAGGUGCGUCAUGGGGGCCCGUUAUCAGGCACUGCACCAUGGGUCCAACUGCCUGAGAUAGAGACAACGCUGUGAACCAAGCCUUGAUGUUUACAUACAACAUAUUAGUCCCCCUGGAAAAACAGGGGGCUUUGUCCCAAAUUUCCAUUUCCUCUCCCACCGUUUAACUGGCCUCAUCAA
Molecule: long non-coding RNA, 5313 nt
Organism: Onychostoma macrolepis
Lineage: Eukaryota; Metazoa; Chordata; Actinopteri; Cypriniformes; Cyprinidae
Exons: 3
Source: RefSeq, a predicted model, not a curated record